UUGAUUUAGGAUUUAGGGUUUGGUUAGGAUUUGAUUUAGGGUUAAGGAUUUGGAUUAGGAUUUGGAUUAGAAUUUGGUUAGGGUUUGAUUUAGGAAUUAGGAUUUGGUUUAAGAUUUGAUUAGGAUUUAGUUAGGAUUUGGUUAGGGUUUGGUUUAGGAUUUGGUUGGGUUUUGGUUUAAGAUUUGUUUAGGGUUUGGAUUAGGAUUUGGUUUAGGAUUAGGAUUUGGUUUAGGAUUUAGGGUUUAGGAUUAGGAUUUAGGAUUUAGGAUUAGGAUUUAGGAUUUGAUUAGGAUUUUAUUUAGGAUUUAGGGUUGAGAUUAGGAUUUGGUUUAGGGUUUAGGAUUUGGUUGGGGUUUGAUUUAAGGUUUGUUUAGGGUUUGAUUUAGGGUUUAGAAAUUUAUUAGGAUUUAAGAUUUAAUUAGUUUUGUUCUAAAAUUUGAAUGAAUUUCAAUAAGAUUUUAACUAGAAUUAAAU
This 475-nucleotide long non-coding RNA is filed under the name Physcomitrium patens. Its description in RNAcentral is "long non-coding RNA (PPAT_LNC004636)". Lineage: Eukaryota; Viridiplantae; Streptophyta; Bryopsida; Funariales; Funariaceae. The record is from RNAcentral.